RNAcentral lists this ribosomal RNA (301 nucleotides) under uncultured bacterium. RNAcentral's name for it is "partial 16S ribosomal RNA". It matches the Rfam family "Bacterial small subunit ribosomal RNA", at positions 509 to 808 of the family's 1533-position model. The record is from RNAcentral.
CAGUCGCCGCGGGAAUACGGAGGGGCUAGCGUUGUUCGGAAUUACUGGGCGUAAAGCGCACGUAGGCGGCUUUGUAAGUUAGAGGUGAAAGCCUGGGGCUCAACUCCAGAAUUGCCUUUAAGACUGCAUCGCUUGAACGUCGGAGAGGUGAGUGGAGUUCCGAGUGUAGAGGUGAAAUUCGUAGAUAUUCGGAAGAACACCAGUGGCGAAGGCGGCUCACUGGACGACUGUUGACGCUGAGGUGCGAAAGCGUGGGGAGCAAACAGGAUUAGAUACCCCAGUAGUCCCUGUCUCUUAUACC